GAACUUUUGAUACCUUUUCUAAAAUUCUCCAGUCAUUAAAUCUUUUACAAAAUUCAUUGAUUUACAAAAAAAAGAAGAUUUGGUAUGAUUGCCAUGUUGAGACAACUCUAGAUAAACGCUAAAAAUAUUCAUGUGAACUUUUGAUACCUUUUCUAAAAUUCUCCAAUCAUUAAAUCUUUUACAAAAUUCGUUGAUUACAAAAAAAAAGAAGAUGUGGUAUGAUUGCCAUGUUGAGACAACUCUCCACAAGAGACCAAUAUGACACAGAAAUUAACAACUAUAGGUCACCGUACGACCUUCAACAACGAGCAAAGCCCUUACCCCAUACUCAGCUUUAAAAGGCCCCGAACUGACAAUGUAAAACAAUUCAAACCAGAAAACUAGCGGCCUUAUUUAUGCACAAAAAAUGAACGAAAAACGAAUAUGUAACACAUAAACAAACGACAACCACUCAAUUACAGGCUCCUUACUUAAAUGUUCAUAACAUACUAAAUGUAUGUUCAUAUUGAAAUUAAUAGAAAACCAAAAAUUGGGAAUUU
This 539-nucleotide long non-coding RNA is filed under the name Mytilus galloprovincialis (Mediterranean mussel). The record is from RNAcentral. Lineage: Eukaryota; Metazoa; Mollusca; Bivalvia; Mytilida; Mytilidae.